Molecule: long non-coding RNA, 371 nt
Filed under: Ananas comosus (pineapple)
Lineage: Eukaryota; Viridiplantae; Streptophyta; Magnoliopsida; Poales; Bromeliaceae
Description: long non-coding RNA (ACOM_LNC037135)
Source: RNAcentral
GAAUGGGCUCAAAAUCAACAAAUUUCAAUGGCCGUAGUGAGCCGUUUGCAAGUUUAACGGUGUAGAAAUAUCCAAAUCACGUGAAAUUUUGAUAGAAAAUUCUUUAUACUAUAUAAAACAAGAUCAAUAUCUUUGAUUUAAAAUUUUAAUGUCAUAUUAUUACAUUUUGUAAUAUUUUUAUUUUCAGCCGUUGAUUUUGAGCCCCUUCAUUCACUAGGCAAAUGAUAUCGUAAAAUCAUAAAAUUUAUUUUCUAGGUACUUCAAAUACUCUAGAUCAAGUUUAACGGAGCCGAUCGACGAUUCGAAAGUCGCAACAUCGAAAACGAGCUGGAAGCACGGAAGGCUCCGUGCUUCCGAUAGCAUAGUAGCCU